RNAcentral lists this ribosomal RNA (808 nucleotides) under Lepidoblepharis xanthostigma. RNAcentral describes it as "partial 12S ribosomal RNA". It matches the Rfam family "Bacterial small subunit ribosomal RNA", at positions 49 to 1407 of the family's 1533-position model. Lineage: Eukaryota; Metazoa; Chordata; Lepidosauria; Squamata; Sphaerodactylidae. The record is from RNAcentral.
UUACACAUGCCAGCCUCCACACCCCAGUGCUUCCCACCCUGACCAACCAGGCCCCAACUAAGAUAUCAGGCACGCCCAUUGCAGCCCACAACAUCUUGCCACGCCACACCUCCACAGGACCCAGCAGUGAUAGACCUUAGGCCAUGAGCUCCUACCACGCUCGACCUAGUUAUGGCCCACAGGGCCGGUAAAUUUCGUGCCAGCCACCGCGGUUAUACGAAAAACCCAACAUAGGUUACUAACGGCGUAAAUCGUGCUUAGAGCCUGGCCCACAAAGAGAUUGGAAUACAUGCAUGGCUAUAAAAUGCACCCCGCCCACUAGACCCCCAUCAAUCUCCUCCCUCCCGCACCCUUGACCUCACGAAAGCUCAGAUACAAACUAGGAUUAGAUACCCUACUAUGCUUUGCCAUAAAAUUUGGCUCGUCCCCUACAACCAGCCCGCCAGAAAACUACAGCCGAAAAGCCUGAAACUCCAAGGACUUGACGGUGUCCCAACAACCUAGAGGAGCCUGUCCUAUAAUCGAUACCCCACGUUACACCUCACCCUCCCUUGCCCACCGCCUAUAUACCGCCGUCGUAACGCCCGCCCCAUGAGCGAACCCACGCGGACAAAACAGUCUACCACGAACACGUCAGGUCAAGGUGUAGCCUAUGAGAGGGCAUGAGAUGGGCUACAGUCUCUAAAAUAGAGCCCUACAAGCACUAUGAAAACCCGCCCAAAAGCCGGAUUUAGCAGUAAACCAGACAAGCCAUGUCAUCUUGAACCCCCCGCUCUGGGACACGUACACACCGCCCGUCACCCUCAGC